GGACUACACGGGUAUCUAAUCCUGUUUGAUCCCCACGCUUUCGUGUAUGAGUGUCAGUAUAGGACCAGGUCGCCGCCUUCGCCACCGGUGUUCCUCCUGAUAUCUACGUAUUUCACCACUACACCAGGAAUUCCACGACCCUCUUCCAUACUCAAGUUUGGUAGUUUUGAAUGCACUUCCCAAGUUAAGCUCGGGGCUUUCACAUCCAACUUACCAAACCACCUGCACACGCUUUACGCCCAAUGAUUCCGAACAACGCUUGGACCCCCCGUCUUACCGCGGCGGCUGGCAC
This 292-nucleotide ribosomal RNA is filed under the name uncultured bacterium. RNAcentral's name for it is "partial 16S ribosomal RNA". The record is from RNAcentral.